RNAcentral lists this transfer RNA (84 nucleotides) under Candidatus Moranbacteria bacterium RBG_19FT_COMBO_42_6. RNAcentral describes it as "tRNA-Leu". It matches the Rfam family "tRNA". From Rfam's summary of the family: Transfer RNA (tRNA) molecules are approximately 80 nucleotides in length. The record is from RNAcentral. Lineage: Bacteria; Candidatus Moraniibacteriota.
GCCGCGGUGGUGGAAUUGGCAGACACGCCAGCCUUAGGAGCUGGUACCCGAAAGGGUGUGAAGGUUCAAGUCCUUUCCGCGGCA